AGGUGUCCUAUACUUGUGGGCUAAGGUGGGGAGAUACAAGGGGAGGAUGUGAAGGAGGCUUUGAACUGGGGGAAAAGGCAGCAAUGAGGUGUGGCUGUAGCCCAGGAAUAGUCAGGGAAGCAGAUAAUUUAAAUUUAGUUAAAGUGUCUCGGCCUAAUAAGGGAACAGGGCAGGUGGGGAUAACUAAAAAGGAGUGCUUAAAAGAGUAUUGUCUAAGUUGGCACCAGAGUUGAGGAGUUUUAAGAGGUUUAGAAGCCUGGCCGUCAGUACCUGCAAUAGUUACGGAGGCAAGGGAAACAAGCCUUUGAAAAGAAGGUAAUGUGGAGUGGGUUGCCUCUGUAUUGAUUAAGAAGGGGACAGACUUACCCUCCACUGUGAGAGUUACCCAGAGCGUCUGUGAUGGUCCUGUAGGCUUUUGAGGCGAUCUGGCAGUGUCAGUCUUCAGCUGCUAAGCUGAGAAGAUCUGGGAAGGAGUCAGAGAGCCUUGGGCCAGAGUUCUAGGGGCCCUGAGAGUGGCUGCCAGGUGGAGAAACGCAGGCGCAGAAAAGAACCUGGAACUAGCAGCUGUUUUGGCAGCCAGAUGAGAUGCCCCCUGGGAGAGCCAUGCCUCUUGUGGAAAGGGCCUGCUCCUCCUCACCUUCAGGAAGUUCUACUAAAAUUCAGUAAUCUUACUAGGCAGUAAGAUUCAGGACAUAGGCAUGGGCAAGGACUUCAUGUCUAAAACACCAAAAGCAAUGGCAACAAAAGACAAAAUUGACAAAUGGGAUCUAAUUAAACUAAA
This 781-nucleotide long non-coding RNA is filed under the name Homo sapiens (human). RNAcentral describes it as "HSALNT0152891". Lineage: Eukaryota; Metazoa; Chordata; Mammalia; Primates; Hominidae. The record is from RNAcentral.